RNAcentral lists this ribosomal RNA (301 nucleotides) under uncultured bacterium. RNAcentral describes it as "partial 16S ribosomal RNA". It matches the Rfam family "Bacterial small subunit ribosomal RNA", at positions 509 to 807 of the family's 1533-position model. The record is from RNAcentral.
CAGUCGCCGCGGGAAUACAGAGGGUGCAAGCGUUAAUCGGAAUUACUGGGCGUAAAGCGCGCGUAGGUGGUUUGUUAAGUUGGAUGUGAAAUCCCCGGGCUAAACCUGGGAACUGCAUCCAAAACUGGCAAGCUAGAGUAUGGUAGAGGGUGGUGGAAUUUCCUGUGUAGCGGUGAAAUGCGUAGAUAUAGGAAGGAACACCAGUGGCGAAGGCGACCACCUGGACUGAUACUGACACUGAGGUGCGAAAGCGUGGGGAGCAAACAGGAUUAGAUACCCCCGUAGUCCCUGUCUCUUAUAC